This 448-nucleotide ribosomal RNA is filed under the name uncultured organism. RNAcentral's name for it is "partial 16S ribosomal RNA". It matches the Rfam family "Bacterial small subunit ribosomal RNA", at positions 335 to 799 of the family's 1533-position model. The record is from RNAcentral.
ACUCCUGCGGGAGGCAGCAGUGGGGAAUCUUGCGCAAUGGGCGAAAGCCUGACGCAGCCAUGCCGCGUGAAUGAUGAAGGUCUUAGGAUUGUAAAAUUCUUUCACCGGGGACGAUAAUGACGGUACCCGGAGAAGAAGCCCCGGCUAACUUCGUGCCAGCAGCCGCGGUAAUACGAAGGGGGCUAGCGUUGCUCGGAAUUACUGGGCGUAAAGGGAGCGUAGGCGGACAUUUAAGUCAGGGGUGAAAUCCCGGGGCUCAACCUCGGAAUUGCCUUUGAUACUGGGUGUCUUGAGUAUGAGAGAGGGGUGUUGAACUCCGAGUGUAGAGGUGAAAUUCGUAGAUAUUCGGAAGAACACCAGUGGCGAAGGCGACACACUGGCUCAUUACUGACGCUGAGGCUCGAAAGCGUGGGGAGCAAACAGGAUUAGAAACCCUGGUAGUCCCAUG